GGGUGCGAUCAUACCAGCACUAAUGCACCGGAUCCCAUCAGAACUCCGAAGUUAUCCAUGCUUGGGCGAGAGUAGUACUAGGAUGGGUGACCCACCUGGGAAGUCCUCGUGUUGCACCCC
This 120-nucleotide ribosomal RNA is filed under the name Erythranthe guttata (spotted monkey flower). Lineage: Eukaryota; Viridiplantae; Streptophyta; Magnoliopsida; Lamiales; Phrymaceae. The record is from RNAcentral.